UGGGGAAUUUUGGACAAUGGGCGAAAGCCUGAUCCAGCAAUGCCGCGUGUGUGAAGAAGGCCUUCGGGUUGUAAAGCACUUUUGUCCGGAAAGAAAUGGCUCUGGUUAAUACCUGGGGUCGAUGACGGUACCGGAAGAAUAAGGACCGGCUAACUACGUGCCAGCAGCCGCGGUAAUACGUAGGGUCCAAGCGUUAAUCGGAAUUACUGGGCGUAAAGCGUGCGCAGGCGGUUGUGCAAGACCGAUGUGAAAUCCCCGAGCUUAACUUGGGAAUUGCAUUAGUGACUGCACGGCUAGAGUGUGUCAGAGGGGGGUAGAAUUCCACGUGUAGCAGUGAAAUGCGUAGAGAUGUGGAGGAAUACCGAUGGCGAAGGCAGCCCCCUGGGAUAACACUGACGCUCAUGCACGAAAGCGUGGGGAGCAAACAGGAUUAGAUACCCUGGUAGUCCACGCCCUAAACGAUGUCAACUAGUUGUUGGGAUUCAUUUCCUUAGUAACGUAGCUAACGCGUGAAGUUGACCGCCUGGGGAGUACGGUCGC
Molecule: ribosomal RNA, 540 nt
Filed under: uncultured bacterium
Lineage: Bacteria
Description: partial 16S ribosomal RNA
Rfam family: Bacterial small subunit ribosomal RNA
Source: RNAcentral